This 64-nucleotide transfer RNA is filed under the name Tomoxia bucephala. RNAcentral describes it as "tRNA-Phe". Lineage: Eukaryota; Metazoa; Arthropoda; Insecta; Coleoptera; Mordellidae. The record is from RNAcentral.
AUUCAAAUAGCUUAUAUUUAGAGCAUAAUAUUGAAGAUGUUAGGGAGUUUUAGGACUUUGAAUA